Molecule: ribosomal RNA, 99 nt
Filed under: uncultured bacterium
Lineage: Bacteria
Description: partial 16S ribosomal RNA
Rfam family: Bacterial small subunit ribosomal RNA
Source: RNAcentral
CACACCGCCCGUCACACCACGAAAGUGGGCAACACCUGAAGCCGGGUCGCUAACUGCUCGCAGGGGCGCCUGUCGAGGGUGGGGUUCAUGAUUGGGGUG